UGUUACUAUAAAAGCUGAGUAUAUAUGGCAUUCCCUUCAGUAAAUAUGUGUCCUUAAUUGAAGGAGUGUUUUCGAUUUUAUUGUAGACGUUCUGUCGCCCCCUCCCCCACAGAUGGCGGGCAAGGUUGUUACUCUAUUUGAGCCGAAGGAUGUUUACACAUUCAUAAUUGCUUUUUAUGUCCUAUGGUUGCUCGAAAGAGGAGGGAUGAUCAUACUUUUAUCUUUAAGAGUGAUCUUUAUUCUGUUAUGGUGAGUUUUGAUUACGGGGUUUAGAAUUGGCUAUCCCAAAUAGCCAAUUGGUGUGACCUCUUAUAGCAAAUGGACCAUCACCACCAAAUGGUUUGUUUGCAGGAGUAAAUAUUUGUUGUAGUUUUAAUCGAUCUACAGUUUCCAUUCUUAUUUUCUUCAAAAAAAGUCCCGUAUUUAAAGUCGUUACAUGUUGGCCUCUGCUUAAUCUUGUGCAGCUGAAAAGGACACAACGUAAGAUUCUAUUUUUGUUUGAUUCUAAGUCUCUAACUAUGUUGUAUAUUGAAAAGAAUUGAGGUUAGGAGUCCUGCCAUUGGAGAAGCUAUUGCAUUGGGAGCAGCAGUACAUUAUCUAUCACAAUUCGGCAUGCCGAGGAUUCAUGAGUAUGAGAAAGAGUUGGGGAUGUAUCUUUACGAGACAUAUCCAUGCGAGACUAGAUAUGAAUUCAACGAAGCUAAGCAGUUCCUUGGGUACUAUGGGUUAGAUGAAGAUGAAUUGAUCCGUUGAGACUGAGGUCUACGACAAUGACUCUGACGGACUGCCUAUGAAUUAUCAAGAAAGUUUUUCUUGUAUGCUAGCUACUCCGUACUUAUGAUGUUUCGUUAUGCGUAGUGAUCUCUGUGAUAAUCAUGUCAUUAAAGUUUGAUGUUUCGUCUUACACUAUAUAUAUGUAAAUAAUGGAGCAGCUAGCUCUGCUAUGAACUCACAUGGCACUACUCCUAUCUUAGAACCAUAUAUUUGUACCUAUAUGUAAUGUAUUUUUCCUUCUUUCGGCACAAA
Long non-coding RNA from Lolium perenne, 1026 nucleotides. RefSeq lists it as uncharacterized. The record is from RefSeq and is a predicted model, not a curated record. Lineage: Eukaryota; Viridiplantae; Streptophyta; Magnoliopsida; Poales; Poaceae.